GGAGGAAUGAACAUGGGAGGAAUGGGUGGCUUCGAGAACAUGCAGCAGGGCGGUUCCCGUGGUAACGGCUUCUCGUC
This 77-nucleotide non-coding RNA is filed under the name Proboscia alata. Lineage: Eukaryota; Bacillariophyta; Melosirophyceae; Probosciales; Probosciaceae. The record is from RNAcentral.